AAAGAAACAUGAGGGUGUGUAGAUAAUGGUAGUGAAAGAUGGUCUUUAUUUUCUUUCCUAUUUAACUGAAUCUUCUUUCAUGGUGUCUUUAUUUCCUUCCCUUUUCAGUUGGAGAGCAGGUAGGAGGAAUAAGACUCUGACAUGAGUCUGAGAUAGCCUCCAUUUCCCUUUUUUUUUACUCAUAAUAUAUCUAGGGUCUCUGUGUGUGCGCGCGCGUGCGUGAGAGAGAGAGAGAGAG
Molecule: long non-coding RNA, 238 nt
Filed under: Phoenix dactylifera (date palm)
Lineage: Eukaryota; Viridiplantae; Streptophyta; Magnoliopsida; Arecales; Arecaceae
Description: long non-coding RNA (PDAC_LNC016789)
Source: RNAcentral